UACGUAGGGGGCAAGCGUUAUCCGGAUUUACUGGGUGUAAAGGGAGCGUAGACGGUAAUGUAAGUCUGGAGUGAAAGGCGGGGGCCCAACCCCCGGACUGCUCUAGAAACUAUGUUACUAGAGUGCAGGAGAGGUAAGCGGAAUUCCUAGUGUAGCGGUGAAAUGCGUAGAUAUUAGGAGGAACACCAGUGGCGAAGGCGGCUUACUGGACUGUAACUGACGUUGAGGCUCGAAAGCGUGGGGAGCAAACAGG
RNAcentral lists this ribosomal RNA (253 nucleotides) under uncultured bacterium. RNAcentral's name for it is "partial 16S ribosomal RNA". It matches the Rfam family "Bacterial small subunit ribosomal RNA", at positions 524 to 776 of the family's 1533-position model. The record is from RNAcentral.